Molecule: unclassified non-coding RNA, 547 nt
Filed under: Hevea brasiliensis (rubber tree)
Lineage: Eukaryota; Viridiplantae; Streptophyta; Magnoliopsida; Malpighiales; Euphorbiaceae
Source: RNAcentral
GCUAAAAUAUUUUACUUCUAUUCUGCACAAAUUAAUUCUUUCUUGAGGCAAUUAAGAACUCUUAUAAUUAGUUUCACCAUAAAGAUUCUCUUUAUUAACCCUCAAUUAUAUUAAUUCAAUUACAUUAUAAAAAUAAAAAAUAAAAACUAUAAUAAUGAGGACAAGGUUCCUCAAGGAAUAAUUUAAGCAAAUAUUGACAGCUACAACUUAUUUACUUGGUCCAACGCAUUACCAAAAAUAGACUCUUGUCAAUUCCAUCAUAAAAGCAACUGACAAAAAAAAUAAAAAAGGAAAACAUAGAAGUAAAAUAUUGUACAUUACUAAAACACCUUCAGUAGUCAAUAACUCAGAAUGCACAUUAUAUUGUUCACAUGUCAACAAGGCAAUAUCACUCUUUAUUAUACUUCAGAAUAUCAUACACUUCAAUAGCAGCUUCCACUCUGCUAUUGCCUACACUCAUUUAAAGGUACAUUAUAUAAGGUUUUGUUUCUAUAGCAUCCUUUAUCUUACUCAUAUUCUUCCAUUCAAAGUUGGUUUUUUUUUUUUU